GGGGCUGCGCGGGAAAUUGACGACUGGAUUGUGAUUCCUGUCGUCGUGGGUUCGAGUCCCAUCAGCCACCCCA
Molecule: transfer RNA, 73 nt
Filed under: Paraburkholderia piptadeniae
Lineage: Bacteria; Pseudomonadati; Pseudomonadota; Betaproteobacteria; Burkholderiales; Burkholderiaceae
Description: tRNA-His
Source: RNAcentral